This 497-nucleotide ribosomal RNA is filed under the name uncultured bacterium. RNAcentral's name for it is "partial 16S ribosomal RNA". It matches the Rfam family "Bacterial small subunit ribosomal RNA", at positions 28 to 507 of the family's 1533-position model. The record is from RNAcentral.
GAUGAACGCUGGCGGCGUGCCUAAUACAUGCAAGUCGAGCGAACGGACGAGAAGCUUGCUUUUCUGAUGUUAGCGGCGGACGGGUGAGUAACACGUGGAUAACCUACCUAUAAGACUGGGAUAACUUCGGGAAACCGGAGCUAAUACCGGAUAAUAUUUUGAACCGCAUGGUUCAAAAGUGAAAGACGGUCUUGCUGUCACUUAUAGAUGGAUCCGCGCUGCAUUAGCUAGUUGGUAAGGUAACGGCUUACCAAGGCAACGAUGCAUAGCCGACCUGAGAGGGUGAUCGGCCACACUGGAACUGAGACACGGUCCAGACUCCUACGGGAGGCAGCAGUAGGGAAUCUUCCGCAAUGGGCGAAAGCCUGACGGAGCAAAGCCGCGUGAGUGAUGAAGGUCUUCGGAUCGUAAAACUCUGUUAUUAGGGAAGAACAUAUGUGUAAGUAACUGUGAACAUCUUGACGGUACUUAAUCAGAAAGCCACGGCUAACUACGUG